GUUAUUAAUAUUACAAAAUGAAAGUCCUCCCAAAAUCUUCUAAUAUGUACAAUGUUAUCCUAGAUGCCGAAAAGAACCAAGAAAAAUGAGACUCAGUUCUGCCCAGGCCGUGAGCUUCACUGCCAGUCACCCUAAGGAAUGGAACUGUAACUGCUUUCGACUUCAGAGGAGCAGGCCCAGCCAAAGAACUUACCUCAAAGUUCUCACAGAACCCUGGUGCUCCCUGGAGUUGGUAGUUAAAGAACAUCCUUCGUUGGUGCCCGGCAGGCAUAAUGCAACUUUCUUCUCCCUGAUCAUCUCCCAGAAAAUAAGACCUGCACAGUUAGAACACUACAGAGAAUGGAUGUAA
This 349-nucleotide long non-coding RNA is filed under the name Fukomys damarensis (Damara mole-rat). RNAcentral's name for it is "lncRNA (ENSFDAG00000028705.1)". The record is from RNAcentral. Lineage: Eukaryota; Metazoa; Chordata; Mammalia; Rodentia; Bathyergidae.